AGAAUCAACGCUGGCGGCGUGCCUCAGACAUGCAAGUCGAACGCGAAAGUCCCCUUCGGGGGACAAGUAGAGUGGCGCACGGGUGAGUAACACGUAGGUAAUCUACCUUCGGAUGGGGAAUAACAAUCGGAAACGAUUGCUAAUACCGCAUAAUGCAGCGGCACCUAAUGGUGACAGUUGUUAAAGCGGGGGAUCGAAAGACCUCGCGUCUGAAGAGGAGCCUGCGGCGGAUUAGCUAGUUGGUAAGGUAAUGGCUUACCAAGGCUACGAUCCGU
RNAcentral lists this ribosomal RNA (275 nucleotides) under uncultured bacterium. Its description in RNAcentral is "partial small subunit ribosomal RNA". It matches the Rfam family "Bacterial small subunit ribosomal RNA", at positions 26 to 284 of the family's 1533-position model. The record is from RNAcentral.